CCAGGUGGCCGGGUGGCCGCGGCCUCUUGAACAUGGGAGGUCGAGGAAAGUCCGAGCUCCACCGAGACGGGGCGCUGGGUAACUCCCAGUAGGGGUGACCCUCAGGAAAGCGCCACAGAAACAAACCGCCUCCCGCUUGGCGGCGCGAGGUAAGGGUGAAAUGGUGCGGUAAGAGCGCACCAGCGGUCGGGUGACCGGCCGGCUGGGCAAGCCCCGCCCGGAGCAAGACCGCAUAGGAGGGCCAUGGGAGUCUCGGCUCGCCCUCGGGUAGGUCGCUAGAGGCGGCGGGUAACCGCCGCCCCAGAGAGAUGGUCACCGCCCGCCGCAGCGGCGGCGGGAACAGAACUCGGCUUACAGGCCACCUGGCCCU
RNAcentral lists this RNase P RNA (370 nucleotides) under Chloroflexota bacterium. RNAcentral describes it as "Chloroflexi bacterium RNase P RNA component class A". It matches the Rfam family "Bacterial RNase P class A". Rfam says of the family: Ribonuclease P (RNase P) is a ubiquitous endoribonuclease, found in archaea, bacteria and eukarya as well as chloroplasts and mitochondria. Its best characterised activity is the generation of mature 5'-ends of tRNAs by cleaving the 5'-leader elements of precursor-tRNAs. Lineage: Bacteria; Bacillati; Chloroflexota. The record is from RNAcentral.